Molecule: ribosomal RNA, 451 nt
Filed under: uncultured bacterium
Lineage: Bacteria
Description: bacterial SSU rRNA
Rfam family: Bacterial small subunit ribosomal RNA
Source: RNAcentral
GUCGAGAGGCUUCGGCAAUGGGGGAAACCCUGACCGAGCGACGCCGCGUGCAGGAUGAAGGCCCUUGGGUUGUAAACUGCUUUUGUCGGGGAAGAAAUGCGAUCAGGUGAACAAUCUGGUCGUUUGACGGUACCCGACGAAUAAGCUCCGGCUAACUCCGUGCCAGCAGCCGCGGUAACACGGGGGGAGCAAGCGUUGUUCGGAAUCACUGGGCGUAAAGGGCGUGUAGGCGGUCAGGUAAGUGGGAUGUGAAAGCCCCCGGCUCACCCGGGGAUCUGCAUCCCAAACUGCCUGGCUUGAGUACGGGAGAGGAUAGGGGAAUUCCUGGUGUAGCGGUGAAAUGCGUAGAUAUCAGGAGGAACACCGGUGGCGAAGGCGCCUAUCUGGCCCGAUACUGACGCUGAGGCGCGAAAGCUAGGGGAGCAAACGGGAUUAGAAACCCUAGUAGUCC